RNAcentral lists this ribosomal RNA (199 nucleotides) under uncultured bacterium. RNAcentral describes it as "partial 16S ribosomal RNA". It matches the Rfam family "Bacterial small subunit ribosomal RNA", at positions 1300 to 1500 of the family's 1533-position model. The record is from RNAcentral.
GCAGGCUGCAACUCGCCUGCAUGAAGUCGGAAUUGCUAGUAAUCGCGGAUCAGCAUGCCGCGGUGAAUACGUUCUCGGGCCUUGUACACACCGCCCGUCACACCAUGGGAGUCGGUAACACCCGAAGUCUGUAGCCUGACGCAAGAGGGCGCAGCCGAAGGUGGGAUUGAUGACUGGGGUGAAGUCGUAACAAGGUAAC